This 653-nucleotide long non-coding RNA is filed under the name Phoenix dactylifera (date palm). RNAcentral describes it as "long non-coding RNA (PDAC_LNC002536)". Lineage: Eukaryota; Viridiplantae; Streptophyta; Magnoliopsida; Arecales; Arecaceae. The record is from RNAcentral.
UUUUUCUUUUCUUUGUUAGAUUCUUUUAUUUAAUGUCUCAAAAUUAUUCAAUUUACUGUAUCCUUUGCCAGCUCAAUUAUUUGGCAUGCCAAGAAAAAAAGUACUGAAACUAUAUUUUAUUUGCAUUAAUUGGUAAUAGCUGUCUCGUACGACCAUGCAAUUCAUGGAGGAGCCUUGAGUUGAAUUCUGUUUCCUGAUGGUUACCCAUUACCUAAGGUUCAUUGGAUGCCUGUACGGCUUGUCUAUUAGAUAUCCUUGUGAGGCUAGACGUGAGAAAGUGUUUGCAGGUGCAGAGAGAGGAAUUAUUUCAAACAGGGAACCUUGGGUCAUCUGAUCUCUGAAAAGAAAAAGGGAUGCCAGACAUUACUUUUUAAAAGUAUUGAGACCCAGGGGCUUCUUCCUGAUUGAAACAAUCUCUUCUAUCCUGUCUCUCUUCAUUCUCUCAAUUUAGACAUUUGAGAAGUUACCUUUAAUGUUUUGUUUAACACAGAAAUUCAAUAAUUCACAAAUAUGCUUUACGUUCACUUGGACUUUGAAGAUAGUAUCUCUUAUUUAUCAGAUAACCACAGGGAAUGCUUGAGUGAGAUAUUUUAAGGCUGUGAAUUCUUGCCUCCAUGUUCAUAGAUGAGUUAAAUGAUUGUCACAAGUCAAAC